RNAcentral lists this ribosomal RNA (497 nucleotides) under uncultured bacterium. Its description in RNAcentral is "partial 16S ribosomal RNA". It matches the Rfam family "Bacterial small subunit ribosomal RNA", at positions 28 to 507 of the family's 1533-position model. The record is from RNAcentral.
GAUGAACGCUGGCGGCGUGCCUAAUACAUGCAAGUCGAGCGAACAGAUGAGGAGCUUGCUCCUCUGACGUUAGCGGCGGACGGGUGAGUAACACGUGGAUAACCUACCUAUAAGACUGGGAUAACUUCGGGAAACCGGAGCUAAUACCGGAUAAUAUAUUGAACCGCAUGGUUCAAUAGUGAAAGACGGUUUUGCUGUCACUUAUAGAUGGAUCCGCGCCGCAUUAGCUAGUUGGUAAGGUAACAGCUUACCAAGGCAACGAUGCGUAGCCGACCUGAGAGGGUGAUCGGCCACACUGGAACUGAGACACGGUCCAGACUCCUACGGGAGGCAGCAGUAGGGAAUCUUCCGCAAUGGGCGAAAGCCUGACGGAGCAACGCCGCGUGAGUGAUGAAGGUCUUCGGAUCGUAAAACUCUGUUAUUAGGGAAGAACAAAUGUGUAAGUAACUAUGCACGUCUUGACGGUACCUAAUCAGAAAGCCACGGCUAACUACGUG